GCCCUGGCUGCUUUCAGAAUUUGGGUUUGAUUCUUUGUUUUACAGUAAUGGGGGUUGAACCCAGGUGCCAUACCACUGAGCUAUAUCUCCAGCCCUUUUUAUUUUUUAUUUGGAGACGGGUCUCAUUAAGUUGUUGAGGGCCUCAUAAGUUGCUCAGGCUGACCUCCAACCUGUGAUCCUCCUCAGCCUCCUGAGUUACUGGGAUUACAGGCAUGUACUAUUGUGCCUGGCCCUAGCCCUUUUUAUUUUUUAUUUUCAGACAGAGUUCUGAGUUGUCCAGGCUGGCCUCGAACUUGCAAUCUUCCUGCCUCAGCUGAGGAUCCUGCUAAGUAGCUGGUAUUACAAGCAUGUGCCACUUCCCCCAGCUUCAGGGUGUGUUGAAGCCCCUGUGCUUCAUCACAUCUCCAUACUUUUCCGUUGUUCUUCUCUUGUUAGAUUACCUGCUGAACUCCUCCACAACCUACAAAACCCUGCUCUGGCAACACUUCCCCUUUUGACUCCCCAUGUAGAAUUAAUCACACCUCCCUUUGAACCCCAUCUGAAAUUUACAUUGUAGCCACCAACUUGCUCUGGUAAUCACCCGUUUACUGUAGCACCAAGGAUUAUGUUGUCAUCUCUCUGAAUUCCUACGAGAAUGAUGCCAUCCUGGUUUGCCAGGCAGAAUACCAUUGCCUAGAGGCAAGGUCUGAGCCCCAGGCCACAGGGAUGCAGGGGGCCAAAUGGGCCAAGGGAAGGGGUGAUGCAGAGUAGUCUGUGAGCAGAGAGAAGGUCAGUAAAGCUGCUGCCAGGUCAGAAGGAGGCCUGACUCAAAGCCUCCGUGUUUGGCAAAGGGUAGCAACCUUCCAGAGGACAGCUUAGCUCUGGGGGAGGAGACAGAUGUCAUAAAGCAGGGGUCAAGGAGGCGAUGGAAGAUGCGGGGCUUGAGCCCCUAUUCAGAGGCUGGAGAGAGGGCCUCCAGAAGACACCUGAGAGGGAAGAGGUGUGAGUGGAACAGAGUUAACUGAGACUAGGACAGGGAAGCGGGCCUGGAGGAGGACAGGCCUGGACUCUCCAGGAGGAGCCUGCCUGUUUCAGAGCAUAGAAGAAAGCACCCAGGCUGCAUGCUUUGGGUCCCCCAGGUUCACAGGGGGGAAAGUGAGUGGGACCUUAACUGAGAUUGCCAGGGUCCCCAAAAAAGGGAUCUCUGCUGGAGUAAGGAGCCCUGGGAUACAAGUAGCCUGUGAUGUCAAGUGAAGGCUCUACACCAGGGUGUCAGGCCUAACAGGGACCAUCCCAUGAGUCCUUCCUCUUCCACACCCAGCACAUGCCUGGCCCAUAGUAGGUGCUUUAUGAGUGUGUAUUGAGGUGUGAAUGGAAUUUGUCUUUAGCAGAUGUAGAACAGAGUCAGUGCAGUGCACAGUGAAGUGCUGUGUGGAUUUUAAUGCCUCAUAUAAAGAAGGGCCCUGUCCUGCCCCCGAGUCGUCCAGGGAAUGGGGCCAUAUCCUCCCCAUGGAAGACAGGCACAGUGACUACACCAGAUAGCAGAGAGGACAAAUAGGCAGCCAGUCCGUGGAGACCAGGCCUGCAUGAAGGAAGAAUGUCAACCAAAUGCUGAAGACAGAUCUGAACUCCUGGAGGACUCAUCAGGAGACUGUGUAGCAUACCUACUAUGUGCAAGUUCCAAAGAUAACACAUGCUUCCCAAGAGGAAGGCCUGGGUCUCAAACACUAGGAAGAAGGCUGUGAGCUCUUUGGGUCUAGGUGACUGAGAUAAGGUGAGCCAUGGGUAAAGAUAGCCAAGUGUGUCUGUAGGGACAUUGGGGAUCUGUGUUCCAGGGAAAAAUGGAGGUGGCUGGGGGCAGGCACCACCCCCCUGCAGUGUAUCCCCAGGUGGACCUCAGGGUAAGAGACCUGGUAGGAGGACACCACUGCUCUCCCUGGCUCUGCCUGCUUCUCAGGACACCUGCUGGCAGACCUAGAACCUGCCGGGGCUGACCUGGCUGCUUUCAGGUUAUUCCGGUUUGGGCAAGAACAUUUCCUGACACCCCAUGACAGGUACCUACCCAGCAGCACCCUGGCCUGGAGAUGAAAGGGGAGCAGGGCAACCAGGAGCUGCAUUUAUAAACAGGCUUUGGAGACAGUUGUGUUUCUGAGGCCCCAGUUUCCCCAGUGACGGGGGACCUAGACGUCAGUUCCCCUUUAAGAACUGGCAUCAAGGAAUUGGCUUCUCCAGGAUCUGGCUGGGUGGCCCCAGGCGAGUUGCCAAUGCUAAUAAUAGUAGCAAACACUGGCGCCAGGUUCUGCGCUCAGCACUUUACGUAUUUUGACUGGUAAGACAGGUGCUCUUGGUGCUGCCCCCACUUUAGUAAGGAGAACUGGCCAUGGGGUGAGGUGCACUUAGCCUUCAGACUCCAGAAUCUGGACUCUAAACCAGAGCUUGGCAACCUGUUUUUAAAGUUAUUAUUAUAGUCAUCUCUUGGUAUCUGCUAGGAUUGGUUCCAGGACCCACACCCAUGGAUAUCAAAAUCUGCAGAUGCUCAAGUCCCUUAUGCAAAGUGACAUCUUUGCAUUUACCCUACGCGGUCUCCCAUGUAUGUUAAAUCAUCUCUAGAUUACUUAUAAUACCAAAUAUAGUAUUAAUGCUAUGUAAACAGUUGUGAAACUGAAUUGUUUAGGGGACAAUGACAAAAAAGUGUACAUAUUCACUACAGAUGUAGCCAUCAAGGCCUAACUACAUAGUCCACAUUAGUGGCAAUGUGACAUUUUUUCUGUCCUGAAUAUUUUCAGUCUGUGGUUGGAUGUGGAACCUUUGGUCCAAAUGUAUCUCUCAGCCUCACAGACACACUGUAUCAGCCCUGCUCUGACUAACAGCAUUGUCAAAGGGCUCUUUAAGAUUCUAAAGCGGGCACAGUGGUCUGUGCCUAUGAUCCCAGCUACCGAGUAGGGGAGGCUGAGGCAGGAGGAUCACUUGAGCCAGGAGUUUGAG
This 2964-nucleotide long non-coding RNA is filed under the name Marmota monax (woodchuck). Lineage: Eukaryota; Metazoa; Chordata; Mammalia; Rodentia; Sciuridae. The record is from RNAcentral.